CUUCGGGGGUAGAGCACUGUUUCGGCUAGGGGGUCAUCCCGACUUACCAACCCGAUGCAAACUACGAAUACCGAAGAAUGUUAUCACGGGAGACACACGGCGGGUGCUAACGUCCGUCGUGAAGAGGGAAACAACCCAGACCGCCAGCUAAGGUCCCAAAGUCACAGUUAAGUGGGAAACGAUGUGGGAAGGCACAGACAGCCAGGAUGUUGGCUUAGAAGCAGCCAUCAUUUAAAGAAAGCGUAAUAGCUCACUGGUCGAGUCGGCCUGCGCGGAAGAUGUAACGGGGCUAAACUGUGCACCGAAGCUGCGGCAGCGACACUAUGUGUUGUUGGGUAGGGGAGCGUUCUGUAAGCCUGCGAAGGUGGCCUGUGAGGGUUGCUGGAGGUAUCAGAAGUGCGAAUGCUGACAUAAGUAACGAUAAUGCGGGUGAAAAGCCCGCACGCCGGAAGACCAAGGGUUCCUGUCCAACGUUAAUCGGGGCAGGGUGAGUCGACCCCUAAGGCGAGGCCGAAAGGCGUAGUCGAUGGGAAACAGGUUAAUAUUCCUGUACUUGGUGUUACUGCGAAGGGGGGACGGAGAAGGCUAUGUUAGCCGGGCGACGGUUGUCCCGGUUUAAGCAUGUAGGCGGAGGUUCCAGGUAAAUCCGGUACCUUUUUAACGCUGAGGUGUGAUGACGAGGCACUACGGUGCUGAAGUAACAAAUGCCCUGCUUCCAGGAAAAGCCUCUAAGCAUCAGGUAACAUUGAAUCGUACCCCAAACCGACACAGGUGGUCAGGUAGAGAAUACCAAGGCGCUUGAGAGAACUCGGGUGAAGGAACUAGGCAAAAUGGUGCCGUAACUUCGGGAGAAGGCACGCUGAUAUGUAGGUGAAGCCCCUGCGGGUGGAGCUGAAAUCAGUCGAAGAUACCAGCUGGCUGCAACUGUUUAUUAAAAACACAGCACUGUGCAAACACGAAAGUGGACGUAUACGGUGUGACGCCUGCCCGGUGCCGGAAGGUUAAUUGAUGGGGUUAUCCGUAAGGAGAAGCUCUUGAUCGAAGCCCCGGUAAACGGCGGCCGUAACUAUAACGGUCCUAAGGUAGCGAAAUUCCUUGUCGGGUAAGUUCCGACCUGCACGAAUGGCGUAAUGAUGGCCAGGCUGUCUCCACCCGAGACUCAGUGAAAUUGAACUCGCUGUGAAGAUGCAGUGUACCCGCGGCAAGACGGAAAGACCCCGUGAACCUUUACUAUAGCUUGACACUGAACAUUGAGCCUUGAUGUGUAGGAUAGGUGGGAGGCUUUGAAGCGUGGACGCCAGUCUGCGUGGAGCCAACCUUGAAAUACCACCCUUUAAUGUUUGAUGUUCUAACGUUGGCCCCUUAUCGGGGUUGCGGACAGUGUCUGGUGGGUAGUUUGACUGGGGCGGUCUCCUCCCAAAGAGUAACGGAGGAGCACGAAGGUUAGCUAAUCCUGGUCGGACAUCAGGAGGUUAGUGCAAUGGCAUAAGCUAGCUUGACUGCGAGCGUGACGGCGCGAGCAGGUGCGAAAGCAGGUCAUAGUGAUCCGGUGGUUCUGAAUGGAAGGGCCAUCGCUCAACGGAUAAAAGGUACUCCGGGGAUAACAGGCUGAUACCGCCCAAGAGUUCAUAUCGACGGCGGUGUUUGGCACCUCGAUGUCGGCUCAUCACAUCCUGGGGCUGAAGUAGGUCCCAAGGGUAUGGCUGUUCGCCAUUUAAAGUGGUACGCGAGCUGGGUUUAGAACGUCGUGAGACAGUUCGGUCCCUAUCUGCCGUGGGCGCUGGAGAAUUGAGGGGGGCUGCUCCUAGUACGAGAGGACCGGAGUGGACGCAUCACUGGUGUUCGGGUUGUCAUGCCAAUGGCAUUGCCCGGUAGCUAAAUGCGGAAGAGAUAAGUGCUGAAAGCAUCUAAGCACGAAACUUGCCCCGAGAUGAGUUCUCCCUGACUCCUUGAGAGUCCUGAAGGAACGUUAAAGACGAUGACGUUGAUAGGUCGGGUGUGUAAGCGUAGCGAUACGUUGAGCUAACCGAUACUAAUGAACCGUGAGGCUUAACCUU
This 2057-nucleotide ribosomal RNA is filed under the name Klebsiella aerogenes MGH 78. RNAcentral's name for it is "bacterial LSU rRNA". It matches the Rfam family "Bacterial large subunit ribosomal RNA", at positions 894 to 2925 of the family's 2925-position model. The record is from RNAcentral. Lineage: Bacteria; Pseudomonadati; Pseudomonadota; Gammaproteobacteria; Enterobacterales; Enterobacteriaceae.